GCCACACCGGCUGAACGAACUGGUUCGAGAACGUGUCCGUGUCAUUGACCAGUGAACCGCUGGUCCCGUUGCUGCUUGAGUUUUGCGAAGUGAUGUAUAGAGGAUCCAUGAUCAGUAAAUAAUCAGAGUGUGCUCAAUGUCAUUUUCCAUCCAGACAGUCUUUUGUAAAACCCCUGUUCCUCUGAAUAUCAUCCUCCAGGAAGUGAGAUUAUUUUGGAGGGAAAACAACAGAAGUACAUCGCCCAACAGAAAGAUCAGUGCAUGCAUAUAUCAAGAUGUCCACAGGUGGGAAAUGUGAGGACUGGAUCAAUGCACAAUCCUUGACCGGCUGCUGAAUCUACCAUUACUUGAGCUGUUUUUUUUUCUUUCUUUUUUUC
Onychostoma macrolepis is the source of this 377-nucleotide long non-coding RNA. RefSeq lists it as uncharacterized. The transcript has 3 exons. Lineage: Eukaryota; Metazoa; Chordata; Actinopteri; Cypriniformes; Cyprinidae. The record is from RefSeq and is a predicted model, not a curated record.